ACGAACGCUGGCGGCGUGCUUAACCCAUGCCAGUCGAACGGAAAGGCCCUGCUUUUGUGGGGUGCUCGAGUGGCGAACGGGUGAGUAACACGUGAGUAACCUGCCCUUGACUUUGGGAUAACUUCAGGAAACUGGGGCUAAUACCGGAUAUGAGCUCCUGCUGCAUGGUGGGGGUUGGAAAGUUUCGGCGGUUGGGGAUGGACUCGCGGCUUAUCAGCUUGUUGGUGGGGUAGUGGCUUACCAAGGCUUUGACGGGUAGCCGGCCUGAGAGGGUGACCGGCCACAUUGGGACUGAGAUACGGCCCAGACUCCUACGGGAGGCAGCAGUGGGGAAUAUUGCACAAUGGGCGGAAGCCUGAUGCAGCAACGCCGCGUGCGGGAUGACGGCCUUCGGGUUGUAAACCGCUUUCGCCUGUGACGAAGCGUGAGUGACGGUAAUGGGUAAAGAAGCACCGGCUAACUACGUG
This 467-nucleotide ribosomal RNA is filed under the name uncultured bacterium. RNAcentral's name for it is "partial 16S ribosomal RNA". It matches the Rfam family "Bacterial small subunit ribosomal RNA", at positions 29 to 507 of the family's 1533-position model. The record is from RNAcentral.